AGCGAACGCUGGCGGCAGGCCUAACACAUGCAAGUCGAACGAACUCUUCGGAGUUAGUGGCGGACGGGUGAGUAACACGUGGGAACGUGCCUUUUGGUUCGGAAUAACUCAAGGAAACUUGUGCUAAUACCGAAUGUGCCCUUCGGGGGAAAGAUUUAUCGCCAUUAGAGCGGCCCGCGUCUGAUUAGCUAGUUGGUGAGGUAACGGCUCACCAAGGCGACGAUCAGUAGCUGGUCUGAGAGGAUGACCAGCCACACUGGGACUGAGACACGGCCCAGACUCCUACGGGAGGCAGCAGUGGGGAAUCUUGCGCAAUGGGCGAAAGCCUGACGCAGCCAUGCCGCGUGAAUGAUGAAGGUCUUAGGAUUGUAAAAUUCUUUCACCGGGGACGAUAAUGACGGUACCCGGAGAAGAAGCCCCGGCUAACUUCGUG
This 433-nucleotide ribosomal RNA is filed under the name uncultured bacterium. Its description in RNAcentral is "partial 16S ribosomal RNA". It matches the Rfam family "Bacterial small subunit ribosomal RNA", at positions 29 to 507 of the family's 1533-position model. The record is from RNAcentral.